CACGUAGGGUGCGAGCGUUGUCCGGAAUUAUUGGGCGUAAAGAGCUCGUAGGCGGUGUGUCGCGUCGGCCGUGAAAACUUGCAGCUCAACUGUGGGCGUGCGGUCGAUACGGGCAUCACUGGAGUUCGGCAGGGGAGACUGGAAUUCCUGGUGUAGCGGUGAAAUGCGUAGAUAUCGUAAGGAAGACCAGUGGCGAAGGCGGGUCUCUGGACAGUUCCUGACGCUGAGGCACGAAGGUCAGGGGAGCAAACGGG
RNAcentral lists this ribosomal RNA (254 nucleotides) under uncultured bacterium. RNAcentral's name for it is "partial 16S ribosomal RNA". It matches the Rfam family "Bacterial small subunit ribosomal RNA", at positions 524 to 776 of the family's 1533-position model. The record is from RNAcentral.